Molecule: ribosomal RNA, 253 nt
Filed under: uncultured bacterium
Lineage: Bacteria
Description: partial 16S ribosomal RNA
Rfam family: Bacterial small subunit ribosomal RNA
Source: RNAcentral
UACAGAGGUCUCAAGCGUUGUUCGGAUUCAUUGGGCGUAAAGGGUGCGUAGGUGGCGCCGUAAGUCAGGUGUGAAAUUUCGGAGCUUAACUUCGAAACUGCAUUUGAUACUGCGGUGCUUGAGGACUGGAGAGGAGACUGGAAUUUACGGUGUAGCAGUGAAAUGCGUAGAUAUCGUAAGGAAGACCAGUGGCGAAGGCGGGUCUCUGGUCAGUUCCUGACACUGAGGCACGAAGGCUAGGGGAGCAAACGGG